This 412-nucleotide long non-coding RNA is filed under the name Homo sapiens (human). RNAcentral's name for it is "non-protein coding lnc-VWF-6:2". Lineage: Eukaryota; Metazoa; Chordata; Mammalia; Primates; Hominidae. The record is from RNAcentral.
GGAGACUCUUCCCCGGGUCGUCAGGGCUAAAGGCCCCUUGGCCAAGGCCUGCUGCCAGAGUGAGGGGCCCUUCUGCUUUGCGAGGAUUUAAAGGGAAGCCGCCUGGCUUAAUUUCGCCCUCGUCUGUCUCCUUGCAAACCUUCGCUCGCUGACCAUACUUUUCAUUGGGCACAGCAUGUGGGGUAGGAGGAAUUAGAAGCGCGCAGUCUGGGUGGGAUGACAGAUGGGAGGCUUUUGGAAGUAAUUAGCAAAUACCUAUCACCGAAUAAUAACACAGCUGAGGGCUGGGCAGUCCCCAAGCGCUUCCUGCACUUGAGGUUUAGUUGCCCCAGAGGGAAAAAGGGUCUGUAGACGGCUUCUGUUUUCUCUCUACUCCUCCACCCCACCCUCCCUCCUGCGUCUUUGGACUUGC